RNAcentral lists this ribosomal RNA (493 nucleotides) under uncultured bacterium. RNAcentral's name for it is "bacterial SSU rRNA". It matches the Rfam family "Bacterial small subunit ribosomal RNA", at positions 28 to 526 of the family's 1533-position model. The record is from RNAcentral.
GACGAACGCUGGCGGCGUGCUUAACACAUGCAAGUCGAGCGGUAAGGCCUCUUUUGGGGUACACGAGCGGCGAACGGGUGAGUAACACGUGGGUGACCUGCCCCCUACUUCGGGAUAAGCUUGGGAAACUGGGUCUAAUACCGGAUAUGACUGCUGGUUGCAUGGCUGGUGGUGGAAAGUGUUAGCGGUGGGGGAUGGGCCCGCGGCCUAUCAGCUUGUUGGUGGGGUGAUGGCCUACCAAGGCGGCGACGGGUAGCCGGCCUGAGAGGGCGACCGGCCACACUGGGACUGAGACACGGCCCAGACUCCUACGGGAGGCAGCAGUGGGGAAUAUUGCGCAAUGGGCGGAAGCCUGACGCAGCGACGCCGCGUGGGGGAUGACGGCCUUCGGGUUGUAAACCUCUUUCGCCAUCGACGAAGCUUCCCGUGUGGGGGGUGACGGUAGGUGGAGAAGAAGCACCGGCCAACUACGUGCCAGCAGCCGCCGUAACAC